This 724-nucleotide small RNA is filed under the name Gilliesia atropurpurea. RNAcentral's name for it is "eukaryotic LSU rRNA". The stretch from base 290 to 445 matches the Rfam family "5.8S ribosomal RNA". The record is from RNAcentral. Lineage: Eukaryota; Viridiplantae; Streptophyta; Magnoliopsida; Asparagales; Amaryllidaceae.
AGGUUUCCGUAGGUGAACCUGCGGAAGGAUCAUUGUCGAUGCUAGAAAGGAAGAAUGUGAACUUGUCAAGGUGCCUUUUGGGAACAAAGCAGCAACAAUCGUUUAAUGCACUCUUGCUCUUUAAGGCAUCCCUUGCCGCCCCCGACCAGUGUCAAGCAUGGAUUGGUGGUGGGAACAUGAACCCGGCGUGGUUUGCGCCAAGGAAUAGUUUUGUUGGAGAGCAUCGCAUGCCACGAUGCCCUAUCUUUGUGGCGCGUGAUGUGAUCCUUGCUAGAGCGAGAAUUCGCAUGACUCUCGGCAACGGAUAUCUUGGCUCUCGCAUCGAUGAAGAACGUAGCAAAAUGCGAUACUUGGUGUGAAUUGCAGAAUCCCGUGAAUCAUCGAGUUUUUGAACGCAAGUUGCGCCUGAGGCCGUCUGGUCAAGGGCACGCCUGCCUGGGCGUCACGCCUAGCGUCACUUCAUGCACCUUGUCUACCCGCUCGAGGUAGAUGGCCUGGAUGGAUGUGGAGAUUGACCUUUUGUGCUUUGCGGCAUGAUGGGUUGAAGUACGAGCUUUGCUGCAGGUUUUGUACGCGGCGAGUGGUGGACGCAGUUCACGCACGACGCCUUUUGCUGCGGACAAUAGCAACCGGCCUAUGUGGAGCACGAAAGGAACCUAAGCAGAUGGCGCGUUGUUGCGUCCUCGGACCAUGACCCCAGGUCAGGUGGGAACACCCGCUGAGC